RNAcentral lists this ribosomal RNA (452 nucleotides) under uncultured bacterium. RNAcentral's name for it is "bacterial SSU rRNA". It matches the Rfam family "Bacterial small subunit ribosomal RNA", at positions 29 to 524 of the family's 1533-position model. The record is from RNAcentral.
AGCGAACGCUGGCGGCAGGCUUAACACAUGCAAGUCGAGCGGGCGUAGCAAUACGUCAGCGGCAGACGGGUGAGUAACGCGUGGGAACAUACCUUUUGGUUCGGAACAACACAGGGAAACUUGUGCUAAUACCGGAUAAGCCCUUACGGGGAAAGAUUUAUCGCCGAAAGAUUGGCCCGCGUCUGAUUAGCUAGUUGGUGAGGUAAUGGCUCACCAAGGCGACGAUCAGUAGCNGGUCUGAGAGGAUGAUCAGCCACAUUGGGACUGAGACACGGCCCAAACUCCUACGGGAGGCAGCAGUGGGGAAUAUUGGACAAUGGGCGCAAGCCUGAUCCAGCCAUGCCGCGUGAGUGAUGAAGGCCCUAGGGUUGUAAAGCUCUUUUGUGCGGGAAGAUAANGACGGUACCGCAAGAAUAAGCCCCGGCUAACUUCGUGCCAGCCGCCGCUGUAAC